Molecule: non-coding RNA, 103 nt
Filed under: Tumebacillus sp.
Lineage: Bacteria; Bacillati; Bacillota; Bacilli; Caryophanales; Alicyclobacillaceae
Description: c-di-GMP sequence
Rfam family: c-di-GMP-I riboswitch aptamer
About the family: GEMM was predicted in a large-scale screen for bacterial structured RNA regulatory elements. Genes associated with GEMM are involved in a diverse array of functions, including chemotaxis regulation, signal transduction, secretion and chitin.
Source: RNAcentral
AAGUGAAAAGGGCAAAUCAUGGGAAACUGUGAGACGCAAAGCCAAGGGCCUGAACUUCAUUUGCGGAAUAUUCUGGAAUUGAAGAUGGCAGCCGGUUACCACA